UAUGGAGGAUGCGAGCGUUAUCCGGAUUUAUUGGGUUUAAAGGGUGCGUAGGCGGGCUUUUAAGUCAGCGGUAAAAAUUCGGGGCUCAACCCCGUCCGGCCGUUGAAACUGGGGGCCUUGAGUGGGCGAGAAGAAGGCGGAAUGCGUGGUGUAGCGGUGAAAUGCAUAGAUAUCACGCAGAACCCCGAUUGCGAAGGCAGCCUUCCGGCGCCCUACUGACGCUGAGGCACGAAAGUGCGGGGAUCGAACAGG
Molecule: ribosomal RNA, 252 nt
Filed under: uncultured bacterium
Lineage: Bacteria
Description: partial 16S ribosomal RNA
Rfam family: Bacterial small subunit ribosomal RNA
Source: RNAcentral